This 156-nucleotide microRNA precursor is filed under the name Pelodiscus sinensis (Chinese soft-shelled turtle). Its description in RNAcentral is "miRNA (ENSPSIG00000020023.1)". Lineage: Eukaryota; Metazoa; Chordata; Testudines; Trionychidae. The record is from RNAcentral.
UUAUCUGGUAUUUCAGAAUAAUUUUAUCCAAUAGUUGUGACUACAGUUAGAAUGUACAAAACUACUAAAUUGCCUACUAAUAAUUACAUAUAAAGUUGCUAUUUUGCCAGCUAUGCUGUCCAAAGUUAGAGAAUUUUGACAUAGAACACUGCUAAA